This 253-nucleotide ribosomal RNA is filed under the name uncultured bacterium. Its description in RNAcentral is "partial 16S ribosomal RNA". It matches the Rfam family "Bacterial small subunit ribosomal RNA", at positions 524 to 776 of the family's 1533-position model. The record is from RNAcentral.
UACGAAGGGGGCUAGCGUUGUUCGGAAUCAUUGGGCGUAAAGAGCGUGUAGGCGGUCCGGUAAGUCCGCUGUGAAAGUCGGGGGCUCAACCCUCGAAUGCCGGUGGAUACUGUCGGGCUAGAGUGCGGAAGAGGCGAGUGGAAUUCCUGGUGUAGCGGUGAAAUGCGCAGAUAUCAGGAGGAACACCUAUUGCGAAGGCAGCUCGCUGGGACGUAACUGACGCUGAGACGCGAAAGCGUGGGGAGCAAACAGG